RNAcentral lists this ribosomal RNA (252 nucleotides) under uncultured bacterium. Its description in RNAcentral is "partial 16S ribosomal RNA". It matches the Rfam family "Bacterial small subunit ribosomal RNA", at positions 524 to 776 of the family's 1533-position model. The record is from RNAcentral.
UACGGAGGGAGCUAGCGUUGUUCGGAAUUACUGGGCGUAAAGCGCACGUAGGCGGCUUUGUAAGUUAGAGGUGAAAGCCCGGGGCUCAACCCCGGAAUUGCCUUUAAGACUGCAUCGCUUGAAUCCGGGAGAGGUGAGUGGAGUUCCGAGUGUAGAGGUGAAAUUCGUAGAUAUUCGGAAGAACACCAGUGGCGAAGGCGGCUCACUGGACCGGUAUUGACGCUGAGGUGCGAAAGCGUGGGAGCAAACAGG